AUGACAUAUUCUGGCCUUCCAGGGUGUGGUGGGAAAAGGACUUUGGUGCCAGUGGAUGGUAGCCUGGAGUGUUCCACAGGAACAAAAAAAGCAGGAUUGCUGUGCAUAAUGACAACCUUUGACUGGAUCAGAAUGGGACUCAGGUCCCUGGAGCUCACAGGGUAUCAGAAAGAGCACUGGGCUGGGAGUCAGAAGAUCUAUGUUCUAGUCUUGGCUCUGCUGCUUACUGGUGAGUUUCUCAACCUUUUUGGUUUCCCCACUUAAAACUUUAAGGAAGUAAGAGUGAGUGACUGGAUACAAUUUCCCUAGUCCAAGAAUUGUGGUAUUGUGGUAUAAACACCCCUAAGUGAGCAGUCUCCUUGUUAACGUCCCACACAGGGCUGUAACUCACUCACAAUUGUAUUGAGGCUAUAAACUGAAAGAGCUCCUCUUGAAGAAUUUAUGAGAGGUCUGAAAGCUCUAUAUUUGCUCUAGAGACAUCUAUUGUUUGUUUAUAAUGUGUGCAUGUUUAAUUUGCAAUAAAACUGGGAGGCACUACUGUACAAAUAGGCAGCUUAUCUACCCUCAAUUGCUGUCUCAGAAGAAGGAAGAUGGGAGAGGGGGAAUUCAGGGAAAAAAAAAUCAAUCACUUUGGCCUGUAAGUGGAAAGAUUUUGAAGGGCUGUCCUGUUGUGCCUGUGGUUGGGUGACCCUCUUCCUGGGGUUUCUGAAUGUCUUCAUAUUCCCAAUAUUCCCGUACCAGGUAGGAUUCCACACUCCUGAAUCCUCCCCGAGGUGAUUCUUCCCUAGAUGUGGGGUAUAUAGGUAAGUGAUGGGGACUCAGACCAGUGAUCCUAAGCAUACUUCAUGUCCUGAUGGCUGUCUGAGGACAGAAAUUGGGGAAAUGGGAGUUUGGGUAAAACUGAUACCACCCUGGUAGGGGAAGGAAGUCUGGGUAGGAUAUAUAGGUCUCAUGCCUAUUGUCUCUGCAUCUGGGAGGUCCUGACAAAACCAGAUGCAGUUGAAUUAGAACACUAAUUCAACUGCAUCUGGAAUCACUAGGGUCGUGAGGAAGGAGUGGCUCACUCUUAUGGGGGUGUCCCAGGAAGACUGAGCAAAGGAAAGAUGAGCCCAUUUAAUUCCUACAGGGAUUCUCCUGCUAAGGGUUCAGUGGGGCUGUGGGCGAUGAUUUAUUCCACUGGCUGCCCACCAUCAUGAGUCUGAAUGAUAGUCCUUACUUAUCAAGGAGGCAUUUUCCUCCAUGACCAUACACUUUUCUUACAGGUUUCUCUUUCAAGCCACCAAAAUUUAUCUUCUUGAUAUACAGCAAUGAUAGCAUCUACCUCGAUACCCAGCAGUUUCAGUAGUCUCCAAUAUUAACAGUGUCAAAAAUCACUUAUCUCUCUGUUUUCUGCUCUGCAAUCCCAACUCCUAUGAUCCCCUGGUGACAGGGAUAGUCCACACUCACAAAGCUGAUGGAGAGGAUUAGGUGCCCUCUUCAGGUUGCCUUUGUAUCAUGGCUUCCUGAGAUAGCCCUAGAUGGUACAAUAGAUUAGCAAGAGCGGACACAGAAACGUGCUGUGCAAACGCCUUGGGGGUUUUCCAGGGAAAGGUUGUCCAAGAGAAAUUACUCAGGCAAAGUCCCUUGCCUAAAACUCUGGGCUGGUGGUAAUUUGCCUUAUGCAAUGAACUAUUCACAAAAAGGUAUCUGCUUUGUGAGCAAAUGUUGGUUUGUCCACUUUCUCUAGUUUUGGCAGGUUGGUGACACUCUCAAUCAUUGCAGUUUUUAUUAUUUUACUAUUUAUUUAUUUAUGGUUUUUUAUUUUUAUUAUUAUUAUUUUUUAAUAAUAAAUUUAUUUUUUAUUGGUGUUCAAUUUGCCCACAUACAGAAUAACACCCAGUGCUCAUCCUGUCAAGUGCCCCCCUCAGUGCCCGUCACCCAUUAACCCCGACCCCCACCCUCCUCCCCUUCCACCACCCCUAUAUUUAUGGUUUUUUAAAUCUGUUAUUUAAACUCAGUUUAGUUAACAUGUACUGCAUUACAGUUGUUUUUUUUUAAUUGUAGUAAAAUACACAUAACAUAAAAUUUACUAUCUUCACCAUUUUAGACGUAUAGCUCAGUACUGUUAGUUGCAUUCGUACUGCUAUACAAUCAAUCUCCAGAACUCUUUUCAUCUUGCAAAACUGAAACUUUAUCUUUUAAACAACAAUCCUCAAUUACCCUCUCUUCCCAGCCCCUGACAACCACCAUUUAUUUUCUGUUUCUAUGAAUUUGACUAUUCUAGGUAUCUUAUAUAAGAGGAAUCAUACAGCAUUUGUCUUUUUGUGUUGGCUUAGCAUUGUGUCCUCAAAGUUCAUUUGUAUUGUAGUUAUGUACAAGAAUCUCGCUCCUUGUUCAGGUGGAGUGAUGUUUUAUUGUGUGUGCGUGUGUGAGUGUGUGUGUGUGUGUGUGUGGUUGUGUACCAUAUUUGUUUAUUACUUCAACUGCUGACAGACAUUUGGCUUUUUUUUUUUUUUUUUUUUACCUUUUGGCUAUUGUGAAUAAAGCUGCUAUGAAUAUGGGUGUGUAAAUACGUCUUUUAGAAUUUGCUUUCAAUUCUUUUGGAUAUAUACCCAGAAGUGGAAUUGCUGGAUCCUAGGGUAAUUCUAUUUUUAAUUUUUAAGGAACAACUACACUGUUUUCCAGAGCACCUGCACCAUAUUACGUUUCCACCAGCAGAUUUUAAGAGUUCCGACUUGUCCACAUCUUCACCUUGUUAUUUUCUGUUUUCUAAAAUAAUAGUCACCCCAAUGGAUGUGAGGUGGUAUCAUGUUGCAGUUUUGAAUUACAUUUCUCUAGUGAUUAGUGAGGUCGAGCAUCUUGGCCAUUGUGGUUUUGAUUUCACUUAUUUGCUGCCACAAUGCGUAGCGACUCUUAACGCUACAGAGCCUUCCUGAUGACGGUUGAAAUUCAGUCCUUCCACCACACUCAUCUGCUUGUCCUUCAGUCCAGGGACCUUCUGUGCCUCUCUUUUCUGGCCUCAUGAGAGGGGCACUUCCUUGCCCUUGGUAUCACAUUUCUUCCUGUUUGCCUUUUAGAACAAAAUGCC
This 3067-nucleotide long non-coding RNA is filed under the name Canis lupus familiaris (dog). RNAcentral's name for it is "lncRNA (ENSCAFG00040016499.1)". Lineage: Eukaryota; Metazoa; Chordata; Mammalia; Carnivora; Canidae. The record is from RNAcentral.